AGAGUUUGAUCAUGGCUCAGGAUGAACGCUGGCGGCGUGCCUAAUACAUGCAAGUCGAGCGAACAGAUAAGGAGCUUGCUCCUUUGACGUUAGCGGCGGACGGGUGAGUAACACGUGGAUAACCUACCUAUAAGACUGGGAUAACUUCGGGAAACCGGAGCUAAUACCGGAUAACAUAUUGAACCGCAUGGUUCAAUAGUGAAAGGCGGCUUUGCUGUCACUUAUAGAUGGAUCCGCGCCGUAUUAGCUAGUUGGUAAGGUAACGGCUUACCAAGGCAACGAUACGUAGCCGACCUGAGAGGGUGAUCGGCCACACUGGAACUGAGACACGGUCCAGACUCCUACGGGAGGCAGCAGUAGGGAAUCUUCCGCAAUGGGCGAAAGCCUGACGGAGCAACGCCGCGUGAGUGAUGAAGGUCUUCGGAUCGUAAAACUCUGUUAUCAGGGAAGAACAAAUGUGUAAGUAACUGUGCACAUCUUGACGGUACCUGAUCAGAAAGCCACGGCUAACUACGUGCCAGCAGCCGCGGUAAUAC
RNAcentral lists this ribosomal RNA (536 nucleotides) under Staphylococcus warneri. Its description in RNAcentral is "bacterial SSU rRNA". It matches the Rfam family "Bacterial small subunit ribosomal RNA", at positions 8 to 526 of the family's 1533-position model. Lineage: Bacteria; Bacillati; Bacillota; Bacilli; Caryophanales; Staphylococcaceae. The record is from RNAcentral.